UGAGGAAUAUUGGUCAAUGGGCGCAGGCCUGAACCAGCCAAGUAGCGUGAAGGAUGACUGCCCUAUGGGUUGUAAACUUCUUUUAUAAAGGAAUAAAGUCGGGUAUGUAUACCCGUUUGCAUGUACUUUAUGAAUAAGGAUCGGCUAACUCCGUGCCAGCAGCCGCGGUAAUACGGAGGAUCCGAGCGUUAUCCGGAUUUAUUGGGUUUAAAGGGAGCGUAGAUGGAUGUUUAAGUCAGUUGUGAAAGUUUGCGGCUCAACCGUAAAAUUGCAGUUGAUACUGGAUAUCUUGAGUGCAGUUGAGGCAGGCGGAAUUCGUGGUGUAGCGGUGAAAUGCUUAGAUAUCACGAAGAACUUCGAUUGCGAAGGCAGCCUGCUAAGCUGCAACUGACAUUGAGGCUCGAAAGUGUGGGUAUCAAACAGGAUUAGAUACCCUGGUAGUCCACACGGUAAACGAUGAAUACUCGCUGUUUGCGAUAUACUGCAAGCGGCCAAGCGAAAGCGUUAAGUAUUCCACCUGGGGAGUACGCCGGCAACGGUGAAACUCAAAGGAAUUGACGGGGGCCCGCACAAGCGGAGGAACAUGUGGUUUAAUUCGAUGAUACGCGAGGAACCUUACCCGGGCUUAAAUUGCAGAUGAAUUACGGUGAAAGCCGUAAGCCGCAAGGCAUCUGUGAAGGUGCUGCAUGGUUGUCGUCAGCUCGUGCCGUGAGGUGUCGGCUUAAGUGCCAUAACGAGCGCAACCCUUGUUGUCAGUUACUAACAGGUUCCGCUGAGGACUCUGACAAGACUGCCAUCGUAAGAUGUGAGGAAGGUGGGGAUGACGUCAAAUCAGCACGGCCCUUACGUCCGGGGCUACACACGUGUUACAAUGGGGGGUACAGAGGGCCGCUACCACGCGAGUGGAUGCCAAUCCCCAAAACCUCUCUCAGUUCGGACUGGAGUCUGCAACCCGACUCCACGAAGCUGGAUUCGCUAGUAAUCGCGCAUCAGCCACGGCGCGGUGAAUACGUUCCC
RNAcentral lists this ribosomal RNA (1017 nucleotides) under uncultured bacterium. RNAcentral describes it as "bacterial SSU rRNA". It matches the Rfam family "Bacterial small subunit ribosomal RNA", at positions 355 to 1375 of the family's 1533-position model. The record is from RNAcentral.